AAAACAAACCAGGCGUGUCUUUGAAGACGGGGUGCGUUUUUAGUUUUAUAUAUUUUUAUUCAAGUCUGUGAUCUUCUUUAAAUAGUCUCGAGCAGCAGAUAAACAUGGAAUCUAAUGGAUGAUCAGCUUCCCAACUGAAGGGAUCUACCUCUGCGUCUUCCUGCAACAUUGCCUUCCAUACUUAUUCAGUAACAGGUUUGACUGACUCUUUCUCUGUGUCUCAGAUGAGGAGGAUGUGAAGCUCAGGACUGGUCAUCACAUCGUCUACACAUCAAUCUACAGACAAACAUCACAUUUGAAUAAAGAUUUAAUGAUGAAA
Long non-coding RNA from Danio aesculapii, 319 nucleotides. RefSeq lists it as uncharacterized. The record is from RefSeq and is a predicted model, not a curated record. NCBI's taxonomy places the organism in Eukaryota, Metazoa, Chordata, Actinopteri, Cypriniformes, Danionidae. The transcript is spliced from 3 exons.